Molecule: ribosomal RNA, 518 nt
Filed under: uncultured Tomentella
Lineage: Eukaryota; Fungi; Basidiomycota; Agaricomycetes; Thelephorales; Thelephoraceae
Description: eukaryotic LSU rRNA
Rfam family: 5.8S ribosomal RNA (bases 178-331)
Source: RNAcentral
CUGGUCCUCAGAUGGGGGCAUGUGCACGCUCUGUUUACACUCCACUCACACCUGUGCACCCUCUGUAGUUCCUAUGGCUUGGGGGCUCUGCUCCCCUGCUGUGGUUCUACGUCUUUACACACACACACCGUAACAAAGUCUCAUGGAAUGUAUGCCGCGUUUAACGCAAUGAAAUACAACUUUCAGCAACGGAUCUCUUGGCUCUCGCAUCGAUGAAGAACGCAGCGAAAUGCGAUAAGUAAUGUGAAUUGCAGAAUUCAGUGAAUCAUCGAAUCUUUGAACGCACCUUGCGCCCUUUGCUAUUCCGAAGGGCAUGCCUGUUUGAGUAUCAUGAGCACCUCAACUCUCAUGGCUUUGCCAUGAUGAGCUUGACUUUGGGGGUCUUUGCUGGUUACGGUGGCUCCUCUCAAUGAAUCAGCUUGCAGUGUUUGCGGCAUCACAGGUGUGAUAACUAUCUGCGCUGUGUUUCUGCUAGAUACCUUCAGUGAUGAGGUCGCUGAGCUCAUAAUGUCUCUCUC